RNAcentral lists this transfer RNA (73 nucleotides) under uncultured Synechococcus sp. Its description in RNAcentral is "tRNA-Ile". It matches the Rfam family "tRNA". Rfam says of the family: Transfer RNA (tRNA) molecules are approximately 80 nucleotides in length. Their secondary structure includes four short double-helical elements and three loops (D, anti-codon, and T loops). Further hydrogen bonds mediate the characteristic L-shaped molecular structure. tRNAs have two regions of fundamental functional importance: the anti-codon, which is responsible for specific mRNA codon recognition, and the 3' end, to which the tRNAs corresponding amino acid is attached (by aminoacyl-tRNA synthetases). tRNAs cope with the degeneracy of the genetic code in two manners: having more than one tRNA (with a specific anti-codon) for a particular amino acid; and 'wobble' base-pairing, i.e. permitting non-standard base-pairing at the 3rd anti-codon position. The record is from RNAcentral. Lineage: Bacteria; Bacillati; Cyanobacteriota; Cyanophyceae; Synechococcales; Synechococcaceae.
GGGCCAUUACCUCAGGUGGUUAAAGCGCACCCCUGAUAAGGGUGAGGUCCCUGGUUCAAGUCCAGAAGGGCCC